Molecule: unclassified non-coding RNA, 244 nt
Filed under: Plenodomus biglobosus
Lineage: Eukaryota; Fungi; Ascomycota; Dothideomycetes; Pleosporales; Leptosphaeriaceae
Description: Leptosphaeria biglobosa partial internal transcribed spacer region
Rfam family: Eukaryotic small subunit ribosomal RNA (bases 1-46)
Source: RNAcentral
AAGUCGUAACAAGGUUUCCGUAGGUGAACCUGCGGAAGGAUCAUUAACUUAGACUGCUUGUCCAGUCUCACGGAGGGCAGCUUUCUAUUAAGCUGCCUGUCUGACACCCUUGCUUUUUGCGCACCCAUUGUUUCCUCGGCAGGCUUGCCUGCCAGUAGGACCCUCUUAAAACUCUUUGCAGUUGCAGUCAGCGUCAGAAACAACGUAAUCGUUACAACUUUCAACAACGGAUCUCUUGGUUCUG